This 611-nucleotide long non-coding RNA is filed under the name Helianthus annuus (common sunflower). RNAcentral's name for it is "sRNA HanXRQr2_Chr17g0791881". The record is from RNAcentral. Lineage: Eukaryota; Viridiplantae; Streptophyta; Magnoliopsida; Asterales; Asteraceae.
UGUAACACCCCGAAAAUGGGAUUAGUAAUCAAACUCCGUUAAUACUGAAAGACGGGUGAAAUACCGUUAGUGGUAAAAUUUAACCCGAAAAUAUUAGGAUUUAAAGGAAUAAUCCUAAUAUUAAAUACAACGUGAAUAAAAGCUUUUAAGGGAGUAAGUUUAUAAGAAGUCCGAGUUAACGGGACUUAAAAUAAAACAGGUUAUAACUCCCAUAACCCACUAAAUAACUAGGAAUAUCAACCUAGUUAGUCUAGUGUUUUAAAAUAAAGAGGGAACUUGAUGUAGUAACCUUUAUAAACAUGGGUAAAGUAGAGGGACUAAAAUGGUUAAGAUGAGAAAAUGAGUUUUUAUUAAUUAAAACUAAAAACACCAAAACACACACCUUUGUGUGUGUUCUGGUCGUACAAAACACAGGAGCCAAGAAGGGCUCUCAAGCUCAAACCCUAACAAGCAUAAAAUCAACAAAUUGAAGGGGUAAAUCCAACCUAAAUCGAAAUCCAAGCACGAAUUCAUGAUCACCUCGAUGAAGGGAUCAUAAGUGAAUGGGUGAAGAUGGACCUAAUCCGGAUGAAGAUCAAGCGGCGAGCAAGAACCGAACACACGUUAAAUGA